Molecule: ribosomal RNA, 776 nt
Filed under: uncultured bacterium
Lineage: Bacteria
Description: bacterial SSU rRNA
Rfam family: Bacterial small subunit ribosomal RNA
Source: RNAcentral
UCAACCAUAGUGUGNUCUGGAAACUGUCUGACUUGAGUGCAGAAGGGGAGAGUGGAAUUCCAUGUGUAGCGGUGAAAUGCGUAGAUAUACGGAGGAACACCAGUGGCGAAAGCGGCUCUCUGGUCUGUCACUGACGCUGAGGCUCGAAAGCGUGGGUAGCGAACAGGAUUAGAUACCCUGGUAGUNCACGCCGUAAACGAUGAGUGCUAGGUGUUAGGCCCUUUCCGGGGCUUAGUGCCGGAGCUAACGCAAUAAGCACUCCGCCUGGGGAGUACGACCGCAAGGUUGAAACUCAAAGGAAUUGACGGGGGCCCGCACAAGCGGUGGAGCAUGUGGUUUAAUUCGAAGCAACGCGAAGAACCUUACCAGGUCUUGACAUCCCGAUGCUAUUCUUAGAGAUAGGAAGUUACUUCGGUACAUCGGAGACAGGUGGUGCAUGGUUGUCGUCAGCUCGUGUCGUGAGAUGUUGGGUUAAGUCCCGCAACGAGCGCAACCCUUAUUGUUAGUUGCCAUCAUUAAGUUGGGCACUCUAGCGAGACUGCCGGUAAUAAACCGGAGGAAGGUGGGGAUGACGUCAAAUCAUCAUGCCCCUUAUGACCUGGGCUACACACGUGCUACAAUGGUCGGUACAACGAGUUGCGAGCCGGUGACGGCAAGCUAAUCUCUGAAAGCCGAUCUCAGUUCGGAUUGGAGGCUGCAACUCGCCUCCAUGAAGUCGGAAUCGCUAGUAAUCGCGGAUCAGCACGCCGCGGUGAAUACGUUCCCGGGCCUUGUNC